This 374-nucleotide unclassified non-coding RNA is filed under the name uncultured Actinomycetes bacterium. Its description in RNAcentral is "uncultured actinobacterium contains 16S-23S intergenic spacer region". The record is from RNAcentral. Lineage: Bacteria; Bacillati; Actinomycetota; Actinomycetes.
UCCGGCUUGUCGCCGGCGGUCCCUUUAGAGUGCCCAACUGAAUGAUGGCAACUAAAGGAGAGGGUUGCGCUCGUUGCGGGACUUAACCCAACAUCUCACGACACGAGCUGACGACAGCCAUGCACCACCUGUACACCGACCUUGCGGGGGCUACAUCUCUGCAGCUUUCCGGUGUAUGUCAAACCCAGGUAAGGUUCUUCGCGUUGCAUCGAAUUAAUCCGCAUGCUCCGCCGCUUGUGCGGGCCCCCGCCAAUUCCUUUGAGUUUUAGCCUUGCGGCCGUACUCCCCAGGCGGGGCACUUAAUGCGUUAGCUGCGGCACGGGAGGAGUCGACACCUCCCACACCUAGUGCCCAUCGUUUACGGCGUGGACUAC